ACACCCUAUGUUCUAUUGCAAAUCCUUUGUAACAUUGUUGGCUCUGUGACACAUUGCAUGUUCUAGUCUAGAAGAUCAUCAUGCUGAAGUCCGGCUGCACCCCCUGUCCAAGACAAUCUCCACGGCUAUGAACUCGAUUAGACAAGAUCUUGAUGACAUCCACACUCAGUACAUGAUGAAGCUCCUGCGUCCAUUUGGGCUGAAGGUCGAGACAGAACCAACCCAAAGCUGGACUGUAACCUACUGUCAUAUGACAGACUUCAUACUGACAACUACUGGCGUGGAUGCGGCAUCACAUGUUUUUCAACAAAACCUUUUUCACCUAGAAUUUAAAGUGUGGAUUAGUCAUCCCCCAUCCCUCCAUGUCUUCAUCUCUUGUGAGUGGAUAUCAUUUAAAACAUUCUUAAAAGAACUCCUCAAUUUCUUCUGAAUUUAUAGUAUUUAUUGUUCUUGUCAAGUAAUAUUGCUGUAAUGCUGUUAAUGAAUGUACAGUAUAAAUUGCAAUCACGCUUGUGUUGGACAGGUGUGGUUCACAGGUUAUAGACAUUUUAGAGGAGGUAGAUGCUGUGUAUUUAAAGGUGUUCUAAGUCAUGUUUAUUUGUACUAUCUUAUUUUUGUAUAUAAAUCAUUAUUACAGUGGAACAAAUUGCUAUUUUUUUAUUUGUAAAUUAGAAACUGAUUUUUUUUUUACCAUUGUACAGCACCACUUUAUCACCAAUAAUGUUUUAUAACUUUGUAGUCAAAUUAUUGUUUUAUGUCACAUGUGAGAACAAAUGCAAGUUUAUAUUUUCUUUCAGAUGUAAUUUUUGUAAUAAAGUC
Pimephales promelas (fathead minnow) is the source of this 819-nucleotide non-coding RNA. The record is from RefSeq and is a predicted model, not a curated record. Lineage: Eukaryota; Metazoa; Chordata; Actinopteri; Cypriniformes; Leuciscidae.